AUGUUUAACGCGAUCAUUGAAAAUUUGGACCUACGUGAGAUUGCGCUCACUGGUAGGCAAUUUACUUGGGCAAAUAAUCUUCCUACCCCGACUUAUGAAAAGCUGGAUCGGGUUCUCACGAGUGUUGAGUGGGAACAAAAAUUGCCUCUAGUGUCAGUGCAGGCAAUGCCUAGAGGAGUUUCUGAUCAUACGCCACUUCUUGUUGAUUCAGGUGAGGCGACUCACUUGGGCAAUAAGAGUGUUUUCUCUUUCGAAAAUGCGUGGUUUGAGAGAGAGGACUUCCUUGAGUUGGUAGCAAGGGAGUGGGCGGCUGAGCAAAGAGGUGCCUCUGCGGAGGAAAGAUGGCAAUACAAGAUUAGACAUCUUAGACAGUUCCUUAGAGGCUGGGCUAAGAAUAAUAGUGGCGCUUAUAGACUUGAGAAGGAGAGACUUCUCAAGUUGAUUGAUGAUCUUGACAUUAAGGCAGAGAGUGUGCCUCUAGCCAUAGAUGACCGGGUAUCUAAGAGAGAGGCUGAGGUCAGUCUGGCAAAGCUUCUUAGAGAGGAAGAAAUGAAGUGGGCGCGUAGAGCAAAAGUACGCCAAGUGGUUCAAGGGGACAACAACACUCAAUUUUUCCAAAACAUAGGAAAAAGAAAAUCAUUCAACUUGAACAGGAGGAGGGAACGAUUGUAG
This 672-nucleotide ribosomal RNA is filed under the name Triticum aestivum (bread wheat). Its description in RNAcentral is "partial small subunit ribosomal RNA". Lineage: Eukaryota; Viridiplantae; Streptophyta; Magnoliopsida; Poales; Poaceae. The record is from RNAcentral.